UACAGAGGCCUCAAGCGUUGUUCGGAUUCAUUGGGCGUAAAGGGCGCGUAGGCGGUCUGCCAAGUCGGGGGUGAAAUCUUUCGGCUCAACCGGAAAACUGCCUUCGAUACUGGCAGGCUAGAGGGAGGUAGGGGUUGCGGGAACUACCAGUGGAGCGGUGAAAUGCGUUGAUAUUGGUAGGAACGCCGGUGGCGAAAGCGCGCAACUGGACCUUUUCAGACGCUGAAGCGCGAAAGCUAGGGGAGCAAACGGG
Molecule: ribosomal RNA, 253 nt
Filed under: uncultured bacterium
Lineage: Bacteria
Description: partial 16S ribosomal RNA
Rfam family: Bacterial small subunit ribosomal RNA
Source: RNAcentral